GUAGGUGGCAAGCGUUGUCCGGAAUUACUUGGGCGUAAAGCGCGCGCAGGCGGUUCGUUUAAGUCUGAUGUGAAAGCCCACGGGCUCAACCGUGGAGGGUCAUUGGAAACUGGAGAACUUGAGUACAGAAGAGGAAAGCGGAAUUCCACGUGUAGCGGUGAAAUGCGUAGAGAUGUGGAGGAACACCAGUGGCGAAGGCGGCUUUCUGGUCUGUAACUGACGCUGAGGCGCGAAAGCGUGGGGAGCAAACAGGAUUAGAUACCCUGGUAGUCCACGCCGUAAACGAUGAGUGCUAAGUGUUAGGGGGUUUCCGCCCCUUAGUGCUGCAGCUAACGCAUUAAGCACUCCGCCUGGGGAGUACGACCGCAAGGUUG
RNAcentral lists this ribosomal RNA (374 nucleotides) under uncultured organism. RNAcentral describes it as "partial 16S ribosomal RNA". It matches the Rfam family "Bacterial small subunit ribosomal RNA", at positions 527 to 896 of the family's 1533-position model. The record is from RNAcentral.